AAAGUGCGCUAAUCCAUGCGAACUGCAGAACACAUGGAGCAUCGAAAUCUUGAACGUAAAUGGCGGCCCAGCUUCUCGCUCGGGCCACAUCUGACUGAGGGUCGGUCG
This 108-nucleotide ribosomal RNA is filed under the name Daphnia galeata. RNAcentral's name for it is "partial 5.8S ribosomal RNA". It matches the Rfam family "5.8S ribosomal RNA", at positions 50 to 154 of the family's 154-position model. From Rfam's summary of the family: 5.8S ribosomal RNA (5.8S rRNA) is a component of the large subunit of the eukaryotic ribosome. It is transcribed by RNA polymerase I as part of the 45S precursor that also contains 18S and 28S rRNA. The record is from RNAcentral. RNAcentral also lists the same sequence under 1 other name. Lineage: Eukaryota; Metazoa; Arthropoda; Branchiopoda; Diplostraca; Daphniidae.